RNAcentral lists this small nuclear RNA (18 nucleotides) under Arabidopsis thaliana (thale cress). Its description in RNAcentral is "snRNA_00495". Lineage: Eukaryota; Viridiplantae; Streptophyta; Magnoliopsida; Brassicales; Brassicaceae. The record is from RNAcentral.
UUGGUUGGUUAAUUGGUC